CCUACGGGAGGCUGCAGUGGGGAAUAUUUCGCAAUGGGCGAAAGCCUGACGCAGCGACGCCGCGUGAGGGAUGAAGGUAUUCGGAUCGUAAACCUCUGUCAGCAGGGAAGAACGGACACUGUGCUAAUCAGCAGUGAAUUGACGGUACCUGCAAAGGAAGCAACAGCUAACUCCGUGCCAGCAGCCGCGGUAAUACGUAGGGGGCAAGCGUUAUCCGGAUUUACUGGGUGUAAAGGGAGCGUAGACGGGAGUGCAAGGCUGGAGUGAAAGGCGGGGGCUGAACCCCCGGACCGCCCUUGAAAAUGUACGGUUGGAGUGCAGGAGAGGUAAGUGGAAUUUCUAGUGUAGCGGUGAAAUGCGUAGAUAUCACGCAGAACUCCGAUUGCGAAGGCAGCAUACCGGCGCCCAACUGACGCUGAAGCACGAAAGCGUGGGUAUCGAACAGGAUUAGAUACCCGAGUAGUC
This 465-nucleotide ribosomal RNA is filed under the name uncultured bacterium. RNAcentral describes it as "partial 16S ribosomal RNA". It matches the Rfam family "Bacterial small subunit ribosomal RNA", at positions 338 to 795 of the family's 1533-position model. The record is from RNAcentral.